UUUGGGAAGAUGUUUGGGUGAGUGAUCUGAAAUUUGCCUAGAGAAAUAGAAUUGCGUUUCUUGUUGUCCUUCUGCCCAAAAACGACACAGCUUCGAUCCAUGAAGCUUCUCCCUAUACAAACCUCAAUCGUUCCCAGUCCCUCUCCUUCGUUCUUUUAAGUCGGCAACCCAUCAUCAGAACACAUUCUCAGUCCAACACAGCCCCUUUCAUUGUAUCCUCUCCACCGACUCUCACAAUAGAUCCACCUUCCCCUUCACAGCUAAAUCCCCAUUUCCCGUCUCCUUCGACAGCUCCCUCUCCAUAAUUACAAACCCAUGUUCCUCUGCUGUGUAUAUUUCCACCAUUUAUAUCUCCCGCUCGCACCAACCAAGAACACCCGCCGGCAGCCUCUUCUUCAUCUCCCUGAACCACUGUCACAGCCCGACCAACCCACAUUCAACCCCGCAACCAUUUCCUCCUCAACUGUGGUGAUUCCAUCGAAACCCAUUAGAUGGCUUUCAUUGAGUCGUUCCAGCGCCGCUCGUGAUAGGGCUGUUCAAAAUUUGGUACAAAACUACCAAUCCGACUUAUCCAAUAUCCGAUAAUUUGGUUGCAAUGUGGAAUGUGGAUAGGGUUGGAUUGAACUGUUUUAUUCAAAGUCUUCCAUUUUCUUGGUUGGUUGGAAAUUAUCCGGUUAAUACCGAUUUAGAGAGCUUCUAAGCCUAACAUCUUUGUCAUAAUCUGAAAUUUCCACCAUAAGAUCUUAGGAUAUCAUUUCUUUGCAUUUCCAGGGGACAGAUGUUUUUGGCUAAGAGAUGAAGAGUUUGCUCGCCAAACUCUUGCAGGUCUCAGCCCAUACAGCAUAAAAUUAGUCACAGAAUGGCCACUGAAGAGUAAACUGGACCCUGUGAUAUAUGGACCUCUAGAAAUAAUUGAGGCAGAAAUUGGAGGUAUCAUUAAAGUUGAAGAGGCCAUAAAACAAAAGAAGCUGUUCAUCAUAGAUUAUCAUGAUCUUUUGUUAAGCCAAGAAAACUUAAAGGCACAACAUUAUACGGUUCAAGGACAAUAUUUUUCCGAACUCCCAAUGCCACAUUAAGGCCACUAGCCAACGAGAUUCAAGCCUAGUAGUGUCUGAUCAAGAGCUCCAAGCAUGGUGGACAGAAAUUCGAACUGUAGGACACUAUGACGAUGUAGGCGUGAGGAAUUUAAGGCAGGAAUUAUGCUAUCAAAUGUUGUCAAAUUUGACAACUUUUGUGAAUAUUUUGUUUACUUAUUUAAAAUUAAUUGUUUUCUGUUUAGAUUAUGAUUUAAGAUCUUAUUAUAUCUUAAUUAGUAUAUAUUGGC
Molecule: long non-coding RNA, 1324 nt
Organism: Manihot esculenta (cassava)
Lineage: Eukaryota; Viridiplantae; Streptophyta; Magnoliopsida; Malpighiales; Euphorbiaceae
Exons: 3
Source: RefSeq, a predicted model, not a curated record